Molecule: long non-coding RNA, 1657 nt
Organism: Fukomys damarensis (Damara mole-rat)
Lineage: Eukaryota; Metazoa; Chordata; Mammalia; Rodentia; Bathyergidae
Exons: 4
Source: RefSeq, a predicted model, not a curated record
UCACAAGGGCUGUCCCGCUCAUCAAGCGCGGUGAACACGCUCAGCAGAAGAGCUGCUUUCAGAGUCCCAGGACCGGGCCCCUCUCGUGGAGCUGCUGUCUCAGGGCCCUGACUGACACUGCCCCCUCCACUGCUCAGCAGACUACUCAAAGAAGCUGUAAUUUGCCAUCUGUUUUUCAUCUGUCCAAAGAGCUUGCACGUGCCAUUCUUCUGAGGGCUCUUGAGAAGAUGGUGUAACAGUCUGAGGAAUCCAGACAUAAUGAUUCGGUUGCUCAGCUCAGACUUCUUGAGGCAUUUUCUCCUGAGACGUUGUGAGGACAGAAGAAAGGAAAGACAUCACUUCCCUCUGCACAUAUUGAAAAAGUGGGCGUGAUUGCUCCCUCCUCUGAAUUCUGCUGCGCCUUUGCCAUGUCUUCUGAGCUGCUGUUCACAUGUGCCGGGAUUGUGCAAAGGCUCUGUGUGCAUGCAUUCCUUGUGUGGUAAGUGCGCAUAUUUGGAUUCACCAGGAUGUUUUUGAUUGCUGGUGACAGAAACUGGCUCUCCUUUGUGUAUGGAACUUUAUCCUCUUCCACUGAAGAGUUUUCCUCUCUGUGGGAGGGAGUGUGAACACUGCCAACUCCAGGUUUAUUUCAUCACCACUCUCCCUGGAAGAGCCUCUCUCUCGUUCUUGUGUCAGAAAGCACAGAAGUGUCCUAUUGGCCCUGCCUGGGUCACAUGCCCAGUCCUGUGAAUGGGAAAGGGAUUGGUGAAGACUUGGUCACGUGCUCACCCUUCAGCCAGGACAUAGCCCACUGUGCUUGGUAACCUUGCUAAAACCAUAUAACUACAGUGGGAGGAGUCCGAAAGGGAUGUGGAAGGGAGUGCUGGGAACAUGAGUGAAAUAGAAUUUACUAAGCUACCUUGUAAUGGCUUCUAUUUUUAGUGUGUCUACAGAUUAUACAUGCUGUAAGACCUUUCAAAUAUGCUAUUUCUGAUUCCCUUAAUAGUCAGUCAAGGUGGGUACUGUGCUGCUGUUUUUAAAGAUGAGAAAGCUAAGCUUAGAGAGCUUAAGUAACUUGAGUAAGCCACAUAACCAGCAAGUGGCUAGUCCAGGAUUCAAACAUAGGGUGUUUAUCCCCAACAUCCAAGGUGGUUCCAUUGUAUUAUUGUUCCUGGUGAUAGAGGUGAGCCAUUACGAGAUGUAAAGAGUAGACAAGCUCACAUAUUCUUACCUGUGAGUUUUAUAAGUCAGACAAGUUGGUUAAGCUACAAUAGCACAGUCCCCAAGUCUCAGUAGCUUAAAACUACAAGGUUUUUCUUCUUACUCAGUGUAUAUAUCUGAUAUAAGUUAGCAAGAGCCAUGCUUGUCACAACAGCCCAGGGGCAGGGCUGAUGGAACAGCCACAUGUCUAAUAGUGCCAGUCACCUGCAGAAAGAAAAGAUGCUCUGGGGAGUCUAGAAUCUUCUUCUUACAACUCUUUUGCCAGAAGUAGCCACAUGGCAUCAUCCUAAGCACGAGGUGGGGGGUGGGAGCAAAAGUGCAUAUUUACCAUGCAGCAUCCAAAGAAGUCAUAAAAAUGCAGACAGCAACAUUAAAGAGUUAUUUAAGAUAAUUCCGUGAUUUGAUAUGAUAAUGCUCUCUUGUAUCAGUGUAUUAUUUAAAAAUGUGCCAUAAAGUU